AGUCACUGACAUUAGAUACCCGCGUAGUCCAGGGUGUAAACGCUGCAGACUUGGUGUUGGAAAUCCUUCGAGGGUAUUCAGUGCCGGAGAGAAGUUGUUAAGUCUGCUACUUGGGGAGUACGUCCGCAAGGAUGAAAACUUAAAGGAAUUGGCGGGGGAGCACCGCAACGGGAGGAGCGUGCGGUUUAAUUGGAUUCAACACCGGAAAACUCACCAGGGGAGACUGUUACAUGAAACCCAGACUAAUGAUCUUGGUUGAUUUUCAG
This 266-nucleotide ribosomal RNA is filed under the name uncultured archaeon. RNAcentral describes it as "partial 16S ribosomal RNA". It matches the Rfam family "Archaeal small subunit ribosomal RNA", at positions 716 to 982 of the family's 1478-position model. The record is from RNAcentral.